RNAcentral lists this long non-coding RNA (1154 nucleotides) under Cyanistes caeruleus (blue tit). Its description in RNAcentral is "lncRNA (ENSCCEG00000005984.1)". The record is from RNAcentral. Lineage: Eukaryota; Metazoa; Chordata; Aves; Passeriformes; Paridae.
GACAGCAAGAGGCCAAUUUCAAAGGUUCCCAGCUCUUUGGCUCUGCAUCCCACUUGUGCCAGCUUUUUCUUUCAUUUUCCCUAAGAUGGAAUGAUGGCUGAUGGGAGCUUGGAAGGAAAAAAACCCUAGAAGAGUAUUGAAUUUCCUAUGCCUGUUUUCAUGCAUGCUGAAGCAGCAGUUGACUGAACUGGUGCAUUUUACAACAUCUGAAGCAACUGUAAAAACACACAGUGAUGAAACAAGAUCCCACCUGUGGCAACACAUACAGCUCAUGGAGUACAAAUUAUGUGUAGUAGGCGUUCAUGUGGAAAAUCUGUAUGGCCAAAGCAUUCUGGCAAACCACAGUUCCUGCUGGGUGAGUUAAGAGUCUGUCUUUAAGGAAUGAGGGAUUCAAAACUCCCCAUGCAGGUAUCAGUGGCGCAAAGCACUCUGAAUACAGCAGAGAUCAGGAGGGUUCAUCUCUAGGGUCCAUCCCUUAGGCUGGAGAUGGAUUAGAUGCCAGCAGGCACAGAUCUGGAAUCUGGUGGAAGAGCUGUAAUUGUGUGCUGGUGAUACCUCUGCUGGCAAACUUUGUCCUUCAUCAGGUCAAAGUGAUUCAGUCAGUUUUCUGGAGGGGCUAAGAGCCAGAGAUGGUUUGUUUCUGCUCCUGUAGCUUUGCUGAGAGCUCCUUAAAGAACAAGUUUGUGGAAGAGGGAUGACUGAUGCUUUCUAUUUCUUUUCCAAACUGUACUAUACCCUGCUUGUAUUUUCCAUUUACCUCCAGUGAAUUAUUAAAGGUAUAUCCCAUGCUUGACUUUUGUGAGAAAUGUUAGAUGCAAGGUUUAGAAAGUAUGGGUACUGAGUCCCUUAAUCAAUCAUCCACUAAUUACCAAGCUCAUUUGGGAAAAAGAGCAUGGAAACCCUGCUCAGGAAUAUCUAAUACUGCAUAACUUGCUCUGCAAAGUGCACCCAGACAGUGGUGAUACGCUUUUUGCAGAAGGGGAGCCAGGCCUGGAAGGCCAUGAUAAAGGCUGGUCCUCUGGAGGAGCCAGUCACAAAUAUUCCCACCGUGUGAAAGGUCUGUGGCCCUGCAAUGCACCAGGGCAGACCAGGGCUGGAUUGGCAUAAAUGCAGUUUAAAAUACCAGCAUGUUGUGCCCAUGCCACAGCUGAGAA